RNAcentral lists this long non-coding RNA (285 nucleotides) under Gossypium barbadense (sea-island cotton). RNAcentral's name for it is "long non-coding RNA (GBAR_LNC013798)". Lineage: Eukaryota; Viridiplantae; Streptophyta; Magnoliopsida; Malvales; Malvaceae. The record is from RNAcentral.
CCAGAUCAGGUACCAAACUCAAGUCUUUAGCGUCCAUUCCUCGAUGGUAAUCGGUAUUCUCCAUGGCUUUAAACUUUUCCUCUAGCCAUCUACACCGGUCUUCUAGUUGUUUUGGCAAGUCUACUCUUGCCUUUUCUAUUUCUGCUAUAUCAUCAGGUCGGGAACCACGGGAUUGGUACGGUUAUCCCCAGGAUUAAAACCCGAGCCCAUUGGAAAAUUCAUCGAUACCUGGGCACCGACCUGGUAUUGAGACCUAAUGGUAAUAGGUACUCUCUGUGGGUACAC